AGAGUUUGAUCAUGGCUCAGGAUGAACGCUAGCGGCAGGCCUAACACAUGCAAGUCGAACGGUAAGGUCUCUUCGGAGAUACACGAGUGGCGCACGGGUGAGUAACGCGUAUGCAACCUACCUUUAACAGGGGGAUAGCCCGAAGAAAUUCGGAUUAAUACCCCAUAACACUUAAGUAACACAUGUUAUUAAAGUUAAAACUCCGGUGGUUAAAGAUGGGCAUGCGUGACAUUAGAUAGUUGGUAAGGUAACGGCUUACCAAGUCUACGAUGUCUAGGGGGUCUGAGAGGAUGGUCCCCCACACUGGUACUGAGACACGGACCAGACUCCUACGGGAGGCAGCAGUGAGGAAUAUUGCGCAAUGGACGAAAGUCUGACGCAGCCAUGCCGCGUGCAGGAUGACGGCCCUAUGGGUUGUAAACUGCUUUUAUACAGGAAGAAGCUCUUGUACGUGUACGAGAUUGACGGUACUGUAAGAAUAGGCAUCGGCUAACUCCGUGCCAGCAGCCGCGGUAAUACGGAGGAUGCAAGCGUUAUCCGGAUUUAUUGGGUUUAAAGGGUGCGCAGGCGGGAAAAUAAGUCAGUGGUGAAAUCCUGCAGCUUAACUGUAGAACUGCCAUUGAUACUGUUUUUCUUGAGUUUGGUUGAGGUAGGCGGAAUGUGUAAUGUAGCGGUGAAAUGCUUAGAUAUUACACAGAACACCGAUUGCGUAGGCAGCUUACUAAGCCAUAACUGACGCUCAGGCACGAAAGCGUGGGGAUCGAACAGGAUUAGAUACCCUGGUAGUCCACGCCGUAAACGAUGAUCACUAGCUGUUGGCGAUAAAUUGCUCAGCGGCAAAGCGAAAGCAUUAAGUGAUCCACCUGGGGAGUACGCUCGCAAGAGUGAAACUCAAAGGAAUUGACGGGGGCCCGCACAAGCGGUGGAACAUGUGGUUUAAUUCGAUGAUACGCGAGGAACCUUACCUGGGCUUAAAUGUAGGACGACGAUUCGGGAAACCGAUUCUCCCUUCGGGGCGGACUACAAGGUGCUGCAUGGUUGUCGUCAGCUCGUGCCGUGAGGUGUCGGGUUAAGUCCCAUAACGAGCGCAACCCCUAUCGUUAGUUGCCAGCGGAUAAUGCCGGGGACUCUAGCGAAACUGCCGGUGUAAACCGAGAGGAAGGCGGGGAUGACGUCAAAUCAGCACGGCCCUUAUGUCCAGGGCUACACACGUGUUACAAUGGUCGAUACAGAGGGUAGCUACCAUGUGAAUGGAUGCGAAUCUCGAAAGUCGGUCUUAGUUCGGAUCGAAGUCUGCAACUCGACUUCGUGAAGCUGGAAUCGCUAGUAAUCGCGUAUCAGCAAUGACGCGGUGAAUACGUUCCCGGGCCUUGUACACACCGCCCGUCAAGCCAUGGAAGCUGGGGGUACCUGAAGUCUGUUACCGUAAGGAGCGGCCUAGGGUAAAACUAGUAACUGGGGCUAAGUCGUAACAAGGUA
RNAcentral lists this ribosomal RNA (1479 nucleotides) under metagenome. RNAcentral describes it as "bacterial SSU rRNA". It matches the Rfam family "Bacterial small subunit ribosomal RNA". The record is from RNAcentral.